RNAcentral lists this ribosomal RNA (383 nucleotides) under uncultured bacterium. RNAcentral describes it as "bacterial SSU rRNA". It matches the Rfam family "Bacterial small subunit ribosomal RNA", at positions 29 to 439 of the family's 1533-position model. The record is from RNAcentral.
AACGAACGCUGGCGGCAUGCCUAACACAUGCAAGUCGAACGAGACCUUCGGGUCUAGUGGCGCACGGGUGCGUAACGCGUGGGAAUCUGCCCUUUGCUUCGGAAUAACAGUUAGAAAUGACUGCUAAUACCGGAUGAUGUCUUCGGACCAAAGAUUUAUCGGCAAAGGAUGAGCCCGCGUAGGAUUAGGUAGUUGGUGGGGUAAAGGCCUACCAAGCCGACGAUCCUUAGCUGGUCUGAGAGGAUGAUCAGCCACACUGGGACUGAGACACGGUCCAGACUCCUACGGGAGGCAGCAGUGGGGAAUAUUGGACAAUGGGCGAAAGCCUGAUCCAGCCAUGCCGCGUGUGUGAAGAAGGUCUUCGGAUUGUAAAGCACUUUAAG